RNAcentral lists this long non-coding RNA (400 nucleotides) under Capsicum annuum. RNAcentral describes it as "long non-coding RNA (CANN_LNC010439)". The record is from RNAcentral. Lineage: Eukaryota; Viridiplantae; Streptophyta; Magnoliopsida; Solanales; Solanaceae.
UUACUACUCCUUAUUUCUCCCACCUCUCUCUUUCUACUUUUUACUUUCUCUUUCUAGAUUUUCACGAAAUUUAAGCUCAAAUCUCCGACGAAUGGCGAUAAUAUUUCCACAAGUAACAAUUCCUCAAUUAAAGGAAAAUUUGUAUUUUUUAUAUUAAAGGCACCACCUACUGCUCUCUUAUUUAUUGCUCCUUCUUUCAAAUUCAUUUUUUUCAUUAAAGGAAAAAUCAAUAAAGGUGGAAAGAAUAGUGCGUUGCGGGUUCAUGAGGUAUCUGUCAUUAAUAGCGGGAUGGUAUUGUUGUAGAAGAAAGGUGGAGUCUUAUCAAUUUUUUUGACUCUACAAGGUACAAAAGUUAUGUAUCUAAGUGAGUUUUAAGUUACUGAUACAUAGACAUUGUAAU